RNAcentral lists this ribosomal RNA (341 nucleotides) under Pityokteines minutus. Its description in RNAcentral is "partial 12S small subunit ribosomal RNA". The record is from RNAcentral. Lineage: Eukaryota; Metazoa; Arthropoda; Insecta; Coleoptera; Curculionidae.
GAAAAUGUAAAUUAAGUUCUUAAAUUAGUAAAAGGUACGUUCUUGAAAAUUAAAAAAGGUGGCGGUAUUUUAAUCUUUUUCAGAGGAACCUGCCCUGUAAAUGAUAGUCCACGAUUUAAAUUACUUUUUUUUAGUUUACAUAUCGCCGUAGUUUGAACAUUUUUUUUGAAUUUUAAUGUUCAAGAUUUUUAUAGAAAAAGAAUUCAGGUCAAGAUGUAGCUUAUAGAAAAGAAUGAGGUGGGUUACAAUAAAAAACUUAUGGAUGGUUAAUUUAAAAUUAGCUGGAAAUUGGAUUUGAUAGUAAUUUUAAUAAAAAGUUAGAAUGAUUAAAGCUCUAAAAU